Molecule: ribosomal RNA, 301 nt
Filed under: uncultured bacterium
Lineage: Bacteria
Description: partial 16S ribosomal RNA
Rfam family: Bacterial small subunit ribosomal RNA
Source: RNAcentral
CAGUAGCCGCGGUAAUACGGAGGGUGCAAGCGUUAUCCGGAUUUAUUGGGUUUAAAGGGUCCGUAGGCGGACUUAUAAGUCAGUGGUGAAAGCCUGUCGCUUAACGAUAGAACUGCCAUUGAUACUGUAAGUCUUGAGUAUAUUUGAGGUAGCUGGAAUAAGUAGUGUAGCGGUGAAAUGCAUAGAUAUUACUUAGAACACCAAUUGCGAAGGCAGGUUACCAAGAUAUAACUGACGCUGAGGGACGAAAGCGUGGGUAGCGAACAGGAUUAGAGACCCCUGUAGUCCCUGUCUCUUAUAA